This 240-nucleotide unclassified non-coding RNA is filed under the name soil metagenome. RNAcentral's name for it is "partial contains 5.8S ribosomal RNA, internal transcribed spacer 2, and large subunit ribosomal RNA". The record is from RNAcentral.
AACGGUCUAUACCUGCGGUACCUGCGGAGGGAUCAUUACCGAGUCCAGGGCUCCCCGCGAGCCCUCACUCCCACCCGUGUCUACCGUUACCGUGUUGCUUUGGCGGGCCCACUGGCGCCUGUCGGCCCGGUCGCCGGGGGGCUUGUCCCCCGGGCCCGCGCCCGCCGAAGCGCCCCCGAACCCUGUGUGAAUAGUGAGUCUGAGUCCCGAUUGAAUCGUUAAAACUUUUAACAAUGGAUC